GGUUUGUUGGCCAGUGGUUAGGCAGCAGUGCUUUCACCACCAUGGCGCAGGUUCGAUUCCUGGAACGGGAACCA
This is a non-coding RNA of Pangasius djambal, 74 nucleotides long. NCBI's taxonomy places the organism in Eukaryota, Metazoa, Chordata, Actinopteri, Siluriformes, Pangasiidae. The record is from the annotation of a GenBank genome assembly.